This is a long non-coding RNA of Fukomys damarensis (Damara mole-rat), 350 nucleotides long. The record is from Ensembl. NCBI's taxonomy places the organism in Eukaryota, Metazoa, Chordata, Mammalia, Rodentia, Bathyergidae.
CUCAACUGAAGAGAAUAGGGAAAUGUUAGCCUCAAUUCUAGAGGGUGUAACAGAUAUUCUACUAUUUUUUAAACUCUGGUUUACAUGAAGACAUGCUUUUAACACCUCUAUAAAUACUGCUAAUAUCAAGGAAGGAAAAUGGAUUAGAGGAUUCUGUGAGCAGGUCUUUCGAAGAGCAAGGAGAACAAAGGAUUCUUCGGCACAUCUGAAGAGGACUGGUUGAGUGUGCCUGAAUAUAGGGUCAUGGUUUGAAAAAGGCUGAGAACCCCCUACCUUGCACUAAAAGGUUUUCAAUACACUGAGACACAUUUUUUUAAAAUGUGCUCCUAUAAGCCAUGUUAGGGCCAGUU